UCAUCUACAGAGCAUCAAGCGCUUCACACAUUGUGAAAGUUUCCCUUUGUGUUAUGACAGGAACCCAAGAUAAGUUGUUUAAUGCAGAGGACCUAGUAGGCUCAAUAGAAUUCCAAUGGGGCCUAGAAGAUGACAGUGCCAUAAAAUGGAAGAAAUCACAAUUUCUUAAUUCUUGAUGACUAAUAUGAGGAGAAACAAACUUCUAUUGUAAGUCACUGAGGCUUCAAGAUUUACCUGUUUCUGCACUGUUUCUACACUGUAACCUAUCAUAGCCUGAUUAAUACAGUGUUGUUCAAGUGUUUUAUGUCCUCAGUGACAUUUUAUCUGUUAAAUCUAGAAAUUACUAAAAAAAUGCUAAAUAUUCCACUCUGUUAGUAAAUUUUCCAAAUUUCUUCUUGUAUUUCUGGUGCUUACAAAUAUUUUCAAUUCCUAUUUUUUAUAUUUUUAGGUGCAUAUAAGUUUAGAAUGAUUCUAUUUCCCUGGUAAAUCUAGUCUCCUCUCAUUGUAUAGUGACUUUAUAUUUCAAAUAAUGUCUUUGCCUUAUAGUUUAUUUUGUUUGAUUGAAAUAUAA
This 571-nucleotide long non-coding RNA is filed under the name Homo sapiens (human). Its description in RNAcentral is "HSALNT0109011". The record is from RNAcentral. Lineage: Eukaryota; Metazoa; Chordata; Mammalia; Primates; Hominidae.